GAUGAACGCUGGCGGCGUGCCUAAUACAUGCAAGUAGAACGAUGAAGCGAGGAGCUUGCUCUUCUUGGGUGAGUUGCGAACGGGUGAGUAACGCGUAGAUAACCUGCCUGUUAGCGGGGGAUAACUUCUGGAAACGAUAGCUAAUACCGGAUAAUAUAUUGUAUCGCAUGAUACACUAGUGAAAGGCGCAAAUGCUGUACUACAUGGUGGACCUGCGUUGUAUUAGGUAGUUUGUGGGGUAACGGCCCACCAAAGGGAAGAUACAUAGCCGACCUGAGAGGGUGGUCGGCCACACUGGGACUGAGACACGGCCCAGGCUCCUACGGGAGGGAGCAGGAAGGAAUUUUCGGCAAUGGACGGAAGGCUUACCGAGCAACGCCGCGGGAAGGAAGAAGGGUCUCCGGUCGGAAAGCUCUGUUGUAAGGGAAGAACGAGUGUGGGAGUGGAAAGUGCACGCUGUGACGGUAUCUUACCAGAAAGCGACGGCUAACUACGUG
This 497-nucleotide ribosomal RNA is filed under the name uncultured bacterium. Its description in RNAcentral is "partial 16S ribosomal RNA". It matches the Rfam family "Bacterial small subunit ribosomal RNA", at positions 28 to 507 of the family's 1533-position model. The record is from RNAcentral.